UACGGAGGAUCCAAGCGUUAUCCGGAAUCAUUGGGUUUAAAGGGUCCGUAGGUGGCAUAAUAGCAGGGGUGAAAGUUUGCAGCUCAACUGUAAAAUUGCCUUUGAUACUGGUUAUCUUGAAUUAUUGUGAAGUGGUUAGAAUAUGUAGUGUAGCGGUGAAAUGCAUAGAUAUUACAUAGAAUACCAAUUGCGAAGGCAGA
This 200-nucleotide ribosomal RNA is filed under the name uncultured bacterium. RNAcentral's name for it is "partial 16S ribosomal RNA". It matches the Rfam family "Bacterial small subunit ribosomal RNA", at positions 524 to 725 of the family's 1533-position model. The record is from RNAcentral.